AAAAAAGAAAUAGAUUAUAUAUCAAUGAUGAAAUGUGCCUUUUAGGUAUUCCGCAACUUUUUACCAACAUCAUUCAACUCCUUUGAUGAUGACGGUUCUCGAGGCAAAUUAGGCAAUCCUUGUUGAAGUCAUCUCAAGAAGAUUAAGUAGCAGAAUUAAUAAAUCAUUCCAAUCAAUUGCCCCGAAGGACAAGCUAGCAAAUCAUCAAUGGAUUUGGCUAAAAAUAUCCUCAAGAAUUUCUUUAAGGCUAUAGUGGACGUCAUUAUUGUUUAUAAAAAGUUCCAGUCAAUUGGAUUGUUAGAGGCAUUCGAAGAGCUAAAAACUGAUUAGCUUAACGCCAAGAACAUGGACUUUCUAUUGUUAGAAAGUCGUUUGAACAUUGAGAAAGAUAAGCUAAAGGAGGCGGAGGAGAAGCUAAAGGAAGCGGAGGAGAAAUUGAAGAAUUAUGAGAAAUCUCAUAUUACCUAGUAAACACAUAUUGAUGUAAUUACGCUUUGAAUACGAGGGUGAAAAUUGUGUUACGCUUUUGGAAAACAAGA
This is a long non-coding RNA of Alnus glutinosa, 539 nucleotides long. RefSeq lists it as uncharacterized. Lineage: Eukaryota; Viridiplantae; Streptophyta; Magnoliopsida; Fagales; Betulaceae. The record is from RefSeq and is a predicted model, not a curated record. The transcript has 3 exons.